GCCAUAGGAACUAACAUUUUAAACUGAUUUUUAAUAUUUCAAUAUCAAAAUAGAUCUUUACUAGUGGAAAGACCUACAAUUGUUCUCUGAACAAUUGGUUUUUAAUUAUUAUUAUUAUUAUUUUUUUUUUUUUUUUUCUUCCGCCUAAUUUUUUUUCUUGCGUAGUAUUGAUGUUUCAAAAGAUGUCGCUUAGAUAUUUGGAAUAUGAUAUCGUAUAGUUUAUACGCUUUAAAAAUUUACAACUGUGUAACAAAAUACUUUACGUUGUAAGAGUUAUCUCCCCAAACACUGUUUUUCUUGUGGCCACUACUCCUUCGCAACCGUAAAAGAUUACGACAAAUUUAUUUUACCAAAUUGCUCGUUACAUCUUCAGGAUUAGGAUAUUCAUUUGGACCGAAGCUAU
Molecule: long non-coding RNA, 403 nt
Filed under: Mytilus galloprovincialis (Mediterranean mussel)
Lineage: Eukaryota; Metazoa; Mollusca; Bivalvia; Mytilida; Mytilidae
Source: RNAcentral